GCCAGCAGCAUACCACCAUGCAUCCCACAGCUGGCUUGCUUCUGAAGCUAAGCAGCGUUGGUCCUGGUCAGUCCCUGGAUGGGAGACCGGAUGGGAGACCAGAUGCUGCUGGAA
RNAcentral lists this ribosomal RNA (114 nucleotides) under Salmo salar (Atlantic salmon). Lineage: Eukaryota; Metazoa; Chordata; Actinopteri; Salmoniformes; Salmonidae. The record is from RNAcentral.